Small nucleolar RNA from Lobosporangium transversale, 223 nucleotides. It matches the Rfam family "Small nucleolar RNA U3". Rfam says of the family: Small nucleolar RNAs (snoRNAs) are involved in the processing and modification of rRNA in the nucleolus. There are two main classes of snoRNAs: the box C/D class, and the box H/ACA class. The record is from Rfam. NCBI's taxonomy places the organism in Eukaryota, Fungi, Mortierellomycota, Mortierellomycetes, Mortierellales, Mortierellaceae.
UCGACUGUACUUACAGGAUCUCUGUCUAGUACAUCUCUAGUCUUUGUUUUCCAACUCAGACACACAGUUUACUCUCGACGAUGAGUUGCAGCGCGCUGCCCGUAAAGGGAAGCGAAGCAACAGGUCUUGUUCCUCUGGGACAGUUCCUGGUAGCUUAUUGAUGAUCUUGUCUGGCCUUAUGUUAAUAAGACCAUGAUGAGGGCGGUCGCGCAUUCUGAGAGUU